This 473-nucleotide ribosomal RNA is filed under the name uncultured bacterium. Its description in RNAcentral is "bacterial SSU rRNA". It matches the Rfam family "Bacterial small subunit ribosomal RNA", at positions 355 to 825 of the family's 1533-position model. The record is from RNAcentral.
UGGGGAAUUUUGGACAAUGGGCGCAAGCCUGAUCCAGCCAUGCCGCGUGCGGGAAGAAGGCCUUCGGGUUGUAAACCGCUUUUGUCAGGGAAGAAACGCUCUGGGCUAAUACCCUGGGGUAAUGACGGUACCUGAAGAAUAAGCACCGGCUAACUACGUGCCAGCAGCCGCGGUAAUACGUAGGGUGCAAGCGUUAAUCGGAAUUACUGGGCGUAAAGGGCGCGUAGGCGGCAAUUCAAGUCAUCUGUGAAAUCUCCGGGCUUAACUCGGAACGGUCAGAUGAUACUGCUUUGCUAGAGUGCAGAAGGGGCAAUCGGAAUUCUUGGUGUAGCGGUGAAAUGCGUAGAUAUCAAGAGGAACACCUGAGGUGAAGACGGGUUGCUGGGGCUGACACUGACGCUGAGGCGCGAAAGCCAGGGGAGCAAACGGGAUUAGAUACCCCUGUAGUCCCUGAGCGGGCUGGCAAGGCGCAU